RNAcentral lists this ribosomal RNA (2902 nucleotides) under Klebsiella pneumoniae. Its description in RNAcentral is "23S ribosomal RNA". It matches the Rfam family "Bacterial large subunit ribosomal RNA". The record is from RNAcentral. Lineage: Bacteria; Pseudomonadati; Pseudomonadota; Gammaproteobacteria; Enterobacterales; Enterobacteriaceae.
GGUUAAGCGACUAAGCGUACACGGUGGAUGCCCUGGCAGUCAGAGGCGAUGAAGGACGUGCUAAUCUGCGAAAAGCGUCGGUAAGGUGAUAUGAACCGUUAUAACCGGCGAUGUCCGAAUGGGGAAACCCAGUGUGAUUCGUCACACUAUCGUUAACUGAAUACAUAGGUUAACGAGGCGAACCGGGGGAACUGAAACAUCUAAGUACCCCGAGGAAAAGAAAUCAACCGAGAUUCCCCCAGUAGCGGCGAGCGAACGGGGAGCAGCCCAGAGUCUGAAUCAGCUUGUGUGUUAGUGGAACGGUCUGGAAAGUCCGACGGUACAGGGUGAUAGUCCCGUACACCAAAAUGCACAGGUUGUGAACUCGAAGAGUAGGGCGGGACACGUGGUAUCCUGUCUGAAUAUGGGGGGACCAUCCUCCAAGGCUAAAUACUCCUGACUGACCGAUAGUGAACCAGUACCGUGAGGGAAAGGCGAAAAGAACCCCGGCGAGGGGAGUGAAAAAGAACCUGAAACCGUGUACGUACAAGCAGUGGGAGCACCUUCGGGUGUGACUGCGUACCUUUUGUAUAAUGGGUCAGCGACUUAUAUUCUGUAGCAAGGUUAACCGUAUAGGGGAGCCGCAGGGAAACCGAGUCUUAACUGGGCGUUAAGUUGCAGGGUAUAGACCCGAAACCCGGUGAUCUAGCCAUGGGCAGGUUGAAGGUUGGGUAACACUAACUGGAGGACCGAACCGACUAAUGUUGAAAAAUUAGCGGAUGACUUGUGGCUGGGGGUGAAAGGCCAAUCAAACCGGGAGAUAGCUGGUUCUCCCCGAAAGCUAUUUAGGUAGCGCCUCGUGAAUUCAUCUUCGGGGGUAGAGCACUGUUUCGGCUAGGGGGUCAUCCCGACUUACCAACCCGAUGCAAACUACGAAUACCGAAGAAUGUUAUCACGGGAGACACACGGCGGGUGCUAACGUCCGUCGUGAAGAGGGAAACAACCCAGACCGCCAGCUAAGGUCCCAAAGUCAUGGUUAAGUGGGAAACGAUGUGGGAAGGCACAGACAGCCAGGAUGUUGGCUUAGAAGCAGCCAUCAUUUAAAGAAAGCGUAAUAGCUCACUGGUCGAGUCGGCCUGCGCGGAAGAUGUAACGGGGCUAAACCAUGCACCGAAGCUGCGGCAGCGACACUAUGUGUUGUUGGGUAGGGGAGCGUUCUGUAAGCCUGCGAAGGUGACCUGUGAGGGUUGCUGGAGGUAUCAGAAGUGCGAAUGCUGACAUAAGUAACGAUAAAGCGGGUGAAAAGCCCGCUCGCCGGAAGACCAAGGGUUCCUGUCCAACGUUAAUCGGGGCAGGGUGAGUCGACCCCUAAGGCGAGGCCGAAAGGCGUAGUCGAUGGGAAACAGGUUAAUAUUCCUGUACUUGGUGUUACUGCGAAGGGGGGACGGAGAAGGCUAUGUUAGCCGGGCGACGGUUGUCCCGGUUUAAGCAUGUAGGCUGGUUGUCCAGGCAAAUCCGGAUAAUCAAGGCUGAGGUGUGAUGACGAGGCACUACGGUGCUGAAGUAACAAAUGCCCUGCUUCCAGGAAAAGCCUCUAAGCAUCAGGUAACAUCAAAUCGUACCCCAAACCGACACAGGUGGUCAGGUAGAGAAUACCAAGGCGCUUGAGAGAACUCGGGUGAAGGAACUAGGCAAAAUGGUGCCGUAACUUCGGGAGAAGGCACGCUGGUGUGUAGGUGAAGUCCCUGCGGAUGGAGCUGAGACCAGUCGAAGAUACCAGCUGGCUGCAACUGUUUAUUAAAAACACAGCACUGUGCAAACACGAAAGUGGACGUAUACGGUGUGACGCCUGCCCGGUGCCGGAAGGUUAAUUGAUGGGGUUAUCCGUAAGGAGAAGCUCUUGAUCGAAGCCCCGGUAAACGGCGGCCGUAACUAUAACGGUCCUAAGGUAGCGAAAUUCCUUGUCGGGUAAGUUCCGACCUGCACGAAUGGCGUAAUGAUGGCCAGGCUGUCUCCACCCGAGACUCAGUGAAAUUGAACUCGCUGUGAAGAUGCAGUGUACCCGCGGCAAGACGGAAAGACCCCGUGAACCUUUACUAUAGCUUGACACUGAACAUUGAGCCUUGAUGUGUAGGAUAGGUGGGAGGCUUUGAAGCGUGGACGCCAGUCUGCGUGGAGCCAACCUUGAAAUACCACCCUUUAAUGUUUGAUGUUCUAACGUUGGCCCCUUACCGGGGUUGCGGACAGUGUCUGGUGGGUAGUUUGACUGGGGCGGUCUCCUCCCAAAGCGUAACGGAGGAGCACGAAGGUUAGCUAAUCCUGGUCGGACAUCAGGAGGUUAGUGCAAUGGCAUAAGCUAGCUUGACUGCGAGCGUGACGGCGCGAGCAGGUGCGAAAGCAGGUCAUAGUGAUCCGGUGGUUCUGAAUGGAAGGGCCAUCGCUCAACGGAUAAAAGGUACUCCGGGGAUAACAGGCUGAUACCGCCCAAGAGUUCAUAUCGACGGCGGUGUUUGGCACCUCGAUGUCGGCUCAUCACAUCCUGGGGCUGAAGUAGGUCCCAAGGGUAUGGCUGUUCGCCAUUUAAAGUGGUACGCGAGCUGGGUUUAGAACGUCGUGAGACAGUUCGGUCCCUAUCUGCCGUGGGCGCUGGAGAAUUGAGGGGGGCUGCUCCUAGUACGAGAGGACCGGAGUGGACGCAUCACUGGUGUUCGGGUUGUCAUGCCAAUGGCACUGCCCGGUAGCUAAAUGCGGAAGAGAUAAGUGCUGAAAGCAUCUAAGCACGAAACUUGCCCCGAGAUGAGUUCUCCCUGAGACUUUAAGUCUCCUGAAGGAACGUUGAAGACGACGACGUUGAUAGGCCGGGUGUGUAAGCGCAGCGAUGCGUUGAGCUAACCGGUACUAAUGAACCGUGAGGCUUAACCUU